GCCCUUGAGUUUGAUCAUGGCUCAGGAUGAACGCUAGCGGUGUGCCUAAUGCAUGCAAGUCGAACGGUAGCUCUUGGAUUCGUCUGGGAGUGAGAGUGGCGGACGGGUGAGUAACGCGUUGGUGACCUACCUCAGAGAGGGGGACAACCAUUGGAAACGAUGGCUAAUACCCCAGAUGUCAUACUUUUUGGAAAGGUAUGACUAAAGCUCCGGCGCUCUGAGAGGGGCCAGCGUCCCAUCAGUUAGUUGGUAAGGUAAUGGCUUACCAAGACAGAGACGGGUAGGGGGCGUGAGAGCGUGACCCCCCACACUGGUACUGAGACACGGACCAGAUACCUGCGGGUAGCAGCAGCAAGGAAUAUUGCGCAAUGGACGAAAGUCUGACGCAGCAACACCGCGUGAGGGAUGAAGGCCUUCGGGUCGUAAACCUCUUUUCUGGGGGAAGAGAAAGGACGGUACCCCAGGAAUAAGUCUCGGCUAACUACGUGCCAGCAGCCGCGGUAAUACGAAGGGC
RNAcentral lists this ribosomal RNA (514 nucleotides) under uncultured Chloroflexota bacterium. Its description in RNAcentral is "bacterial SSU rRNA". It matches the Rfam family "Bacterial small subunit ribosomal RNA", at positions 1 to 533 of the family's 1533-position model. The record is from RNAcentral. Lineage: Bacteria; Bacillati; Chloroflexota.